This 492-nucleotide ribosomal RNA is filed under the name uncultured bacterium. RNAcentral's name for it is "partial 16S ribosomal RNA". It matches the Rfam family "Bacterial small subunit ribosomal RNA", at positions 29 to 507 of the family's 1533-position model. The record is from RNAcentral.
AGUGAACGCUGGCGGUAGGCCUAACACAUGCAAGUCGAACGGCAGCACAGUAAGAGCUUGCUCUUACGGGUGGCGAGUGGCGGACGGGUGGGGAAUACAUAGGAAUCUACUUUUUCGUGGGGGAUAACGUAGGGAAACUUACGCUAAUACCGCAUACGACCUACGGGUGAAAGCAGGGGAUCUUCGGACCUUGCGCGAUUGAAUGAGCUGAUGUCGGAUUAGCUAGUUGGCGGGGUAAAGGCCCACCAAGGCGACGAUCCGUAGCUGGUCUGAGAGGAUGAUCAGCCACACUGGAACUGAGACACGGUCCAGACUCCUACGGGAGGCAGCAGUGGGGAAUAUUGGACAAUGGGCGCAAGCCGGAUCCAGCCAUACCGCGUGGGUGAAGAAGGCCUUCGGGUUGUAGAGCCCUUUUGUUGGGAAAGAAAAGCAGCAGGUUAAUACCCCGCUGUGCUGACGGUACCCAAAGAAUAAGCACCGGCUAACUUCGUG